This 75-nucleotide transfer RNA is filed under the name Candidatus Dactylopiibacterium sp. Its description in RNAcentral is "tRNA-Arg". It matches the Rfam family "tRNA". From Rfam's summary of the family: Transfer RNA (tRNA) molecules are approximately 80 nucleotides in length. Their secondary structure includes four short double-helical elements and three loops (D, anti-codon, and T loops). Further hydrogen bonds mediate the characteristic L-shaped molecular structure. tRNAs have two regions of fundamental functional importance: the anti-codon, which is responsible for specific mRNA codon recognition, and the 3' end, to which the tRNAs corresponding amino acid is attached (by aminoacyl-tRNA synthetases). tRNAs cope with the degeneracy of the genetic code in two manners: having more than one tRNA (with a specific anti-codon) for a particular amino acid; and 'wobble' base-pairing, i.e. permitting non-standard base-pairing at the 3rd anti-codon position. The record is from RNAcentral. Lineage: Bacteria; Pseudomonadati; Pseudomonadota; Betaproteobacteria; Rhodocyclales; Rhodocyclaceae.
GGCCCUAUAGUUGAAUGGAUACAACAGCCCCCUCCUAAGGGGCAGGUACAGGUUCGAUUCCUGUUGGGGCUACCA